This 697-nucleotide unclassified non-coding RNA is filed under the name Hevea brasiliensis (rubber tree). The record is from RNAcentral. Lineage: Eukaryota; Viridiplantae; Streptophyta; Magnoliopsida; Malpighiales; Euphorbiaceae.
GAAGGUUGCUUGCCUCCCUAGGUUUCAGGCGAGCCUCUCCCGCCCAGUGUGCCUCUCACCACGCCUUUGAUAACACUAAAUAUGGUUAGACCCAAAUGAAGAAAGGUUUGCACAAUGUGUGCCAUUAGUCAGAGAUGAAUGAUAAAAUUGGGCAGUUAAUGAGAAAGCGACACAUGGAGGUUGAGAAGUUCAAACCACUCCUUCUAAAAAGUCAAAGAAGUCAACAGAACAAAAUAGCCAUGACUAAUAUAUAUAUAUGAUGGAAAGAAACCUAAGUCAAAUGACUUUCAACCAAGGUGACUAGCCUAGUAGACACCAAUUGAGUAGGCCAAGUCGAGUGGAGGAUGACAAACUUCACCAAGUUGACCCAACAUUGCUCGACCUAGAAUAUAAGAGAGCCCGUAUUUAAUGCUUGAAAGAGACGUCCACCAACUGACAUUCCUUCCUACUCAUUCAAUAAAAGGGAUUCUGCCAGACCACGCCCAUCUUGCUAAUAGCAGAUAACCCUACCUUUGCCCACAGAUACUUAUCAUGAGAAUCUAUUGACUGUGAUGCACUUUGACUCACUAUAUAAGGAAACAUUCCUCAAGAAAUGUAUCUUCUUUUGCCCUUAUACUCCUAAAUUCCUUUAUUCUUUAUUUAUCUCAUUCCUCCACAUUCUUCUAUACCUCCAUUAAAGCUAUAACUAACUUAAGUA